Long non-coding RNA from Manacus vitellinus (golden-collared manakin), 272 nucleotides. RefSeq lists it as uncharacterized. The record is from RefSeq and is a predicted model, not a curated record. The transcript is spliced from 3 exons. NCBI's taxonomy places the organism in Eukaryota, Metazoa, Chordata, Aves, Passeriformes, Pipridae.
AAUCCGGGCAGAGUGGUCCAGAGUACUGGGAAUGGGAAUAAAAUACGAACACGGCCAUGAUUGUAACUGACCUCAAAGAGGAAGGACAAAUCCACUGUUUGAACGGAAAACUUGUGAUGCUUCUGAAUUUAUUGAUGAAGUUCUGCACAAGAAUGUAAAAAGGAAACAACACAGAGAAAAAAAAAUUGGAAGAAUAACAUUAGUACGGAAGUAAGACACAAAACAACUACUCCAUUCAACAGUUCAACAUGUGAACCUUUACUGUGACCAUU